GUGUGUGUGCGUCACCCUUCCCCCACACGAGCGGGAGUCGGGCCUGCGGCCAGGGCCAGGGGUGCGGCUGGCCCUGCCGGCGUCUGGCGUCUUUUGCAGACCAGCUGAGCACUGACCUGCCCCACGAUGUCUACGAAGGAGACGAGGUCGUGGUGCGGUGCUCUGGGGUGAGCGGCAGCAUGACAGGGGAGGUGAUGUACUACAAGGAUGAGUCUCUGCCGGCCACUCACUACCACGCCUCAGGCUACACCACCCCAAACGCGAGCCCCAGUGACAGCGGCUCCUAGUCCCGUGAGGUCCGCCAGCUGGUCUUCUACAGAUUGACGACGGAGAGGACGAGGUCUGUAUGGCUCACGGUCCGCGAGCUGUUUCCGGCUCCCACGCUGACCGUCAGGCCCUCGCAGCCCACCGAGGGGAGCUCAGUGACCCUGUCCUGUGACACCCAGCUUCCCCGGGACAGGUCGGGGACGCAGCUUCGCGCCUCCUUCUUCAGGGAUGAACACACCCUGAGAUCGCACGGAAACGCAUCGGAGUUUCGGAUCUCGGCCAUAUGGAGGGAGGGCCGGGAUUCUACUGGUGUGAGGUGGCCACGGCGUCCCACAGCGUCUUGAAGCUGAGUCCUCGGUCCCACGGGCUUGUGCCGAGUGAGCCCAGGGGCGGGCUGCCGGCGGGGUCCUGGGUCACACGGAGAGGAGCAGGGCUCCCUGGAGACGCCAGCUGUGCCUCCCCUGUCCCUGCGGGCGUGGUGGGUACAGGGUCUCAGGGACUGCCCUGGACUCUGCUGUCAGUGGCCACGGGGGCCCGGUCUCCCUGGCCCUGCUCUCCUGGUCUGCAAAGCGACCAUCGUAAGCUCUCCUGGAGCACCUUGUGUUACGCUCCGAGGUAAAUAAUGGUGGCGUCUGUCUGUAGGGAGCUGCCCCAGCCGCGAACACCCUGCCCUGGGAGAGCCCGGGGUGGGGGGCAACAGCAGCAAUGGCAGGAAGAGCCCCCAGCCCCGAAAAGCACUCCCGAAUGCCAGGCCUGAUGGGCUGCUGGGCUCGGUUCCAGGAAUCCCAGGACAGGGAGGACUUGCAGGAGGUGUUCCAAGCGCAGGCCUUGCUCCGAGCAGGUCUGGGGGCCCCGCGGAGCCCUGGGGAAUCUAUAAUGUGGUUCAUCAGUGUCCCCAUGACACACACCCGGGGACUGAAAGCCCAGAGCAGCCACGUGACCUGCCCGGGGUCACCCAGCUGGAACAGGAACGCAGGCACACCGCGCCAGCGUCCGCCCCUGCCCCACGCCGUGUGGGGGACAGCAGUGCUGCCGACGGCUGCCGGGUGCCGGACCCUGAGACAGCCGCAGGAUGGGCCUCUCCCUUCAUCACCAGCAGAGCUCUGUCAGGCUGGGACGGGGCUCCACACUCCUUCUUGGAGGAAACGUGGGGUCGGACAGCUGCACUGACCCGCUGAGAUCACGUGGUGUCCCAGUGUCUGCCGUGCUCCUGGAGACCCUGCCCCAGGG
Molecule: long non-coding RNA, 1497 nt
Organism: Mustela erminea (ermine)
Lineage: Eukaryota; Metazoa; Chordata; Mammalia; Carnivora; Mustelidae
Exons: 3
Source: RefSeq, a predicted model, not a curated record